CAGCAGUAGCCGCGGUAAUACGUAGAUGGCAAGCGUUGUCCGGAAUUAUUGGGCGUAAAGGGCUCGCAGGCGGUUUCUUAAGUCUGAUGUGAAAGCCCCCGGCUCAACCGGGGAGGGUCAUUGGAAACUGGGAAACUUGAGUGCAGAAGAGGAGAGUGGAAUUCCACGUGUAGCGGUGAAAUGCGUAGAGAUGUGGAGGAACACCAGUGGCGAAGGCGGCUCUCUGGUCUGUAACUGACGCUGAGGAGCGAAAGCGUGGGGAGCGAACAGGAUUAGAUACCCGAGUAGUCCCUGUCUCUUAUAC
Molecule: ribosomal RNA, 304 nt
Filed under: uncultured bacterium
Lineage: Bacteria
Description: partial 16S ribosomal RNA
Rfam family: Bacterial small subunit ribosomal RNA
Source: RNAcentral